Molecule: ribosomal RNA, 460 nt
Filed under: uncultured bacterium
Lineage: Bacteria
Description: SSU rRNA
Rfam family: Bacterial small subunit ribosomal RNA
Source: RNAcentral
AGGAUGAACGCUGGCGGUCUGCUUAACACAUGCAAGUCGAACGGGCGUAGCAAUACGUUAGUGGCGGACGGGUGAGUAACGCGUGAGAAUCUACCUUCAGGACGGAGACAACAGUUGGAAACGACUGCUAACCCCCGAUGUACUGAAAAGGCAAAUAUUUAUAGCCUGAAGAAGAGCUCGCGUCCGAUUAGCUAGUUGGAGAGGUAAAAGCUCACCAAGGCGACGAUCGGUAGCUGGUCUGAGAGGACGAUCAGCCACACUGGGACUGAGACACGGCCCAGACUCCUACGGGAGGCAGCAGUGGGAAUUUUCCGCAAUGGGCGAAAGCCUGACGGAGCAAGACCGCGUGGGGGAAGAAGGCUCUUGGGCUGUAAACCCCUUUUCUCUGGGAAGAAAGUUGUGAAAGCAGCCUGACGGUACCAGAGGAAUCAGCAUCGGCUAACUCCGUGCCAGCAGCCGC